This 1437-nucleotide long non-coding RNA is filed under the name Homo sapiens (human). RNAcentral's name for it is "HSALNT0336048". The record is from RNAcentral. Lineage: Eukaryota; Metazoa; Chordata; Mammalia; Primates; Hominidae.
CUCUGUAUGCAGAAUAUUGUGCAACAUGGUUAUGGGUACUACAGUGGAUGUGAGUGUGUAGACCUUGUACAAUAGAGCUUAUAGGCUAAUGAGAAGACAGGAAGAAACAACAGGAACACAUAUAGCUGGAAUGCAGAUGGGAUCUGUGCUACUUACGCUAGCCAUGGGAUGAUUAGAACAAGAUAAGAGACAUGAGGAAGACUUCUUCAAGGAGGUGCUCAAGCCAUGUUUUGGAAAAGAGAACUCAAGGUCUGGCAGGGAGAAAGGAGCAAGGUCCUCUUCUCCCUGAAGGCUGUCACAGUUCCUGUGCAGAGAGAGAGGGCACUGCAGCACCCAGGCGCUGACUGCCUUUUGUCAGUCUCAUUUGCAGGCCCCCAGCUGGAGAACCCAGGAGGAAGAGGAAAAAAGUUUUUUCCUCCUCUACACUCCCCAUGCAUGACUAAAGAGUAGGAGGAGUCAGCAAGACAUAUAUAGUACCCAGGAGGUGGACAAACAACUGCCUUGGUGGAAACUCUGUCCUUUCUGGACUUAUCCUGGUGCCACUGAGACUGUGCAGGUCCCACACUUACAGGGAAAGCAUCACCCGAAAGUGAGAAUGCCUAGAGGCAGGAAUCAUGGAGGCUUCCUUAACCGUCUGUCUGCAACAGCAGGUGCUAGAGAUGACACUGCAGAGUAGAGAACAAAGGAAUCUUAGUAAUUGUUCAAUCCAAUCUCCACACUUUAAAGAUGAAGAAACUGGUAUUGAGAAAAAUACACAGCUUAUCCAAGGUUGCACUGCUGGUUGGUAGCUGAGAUGAAUUUAGAACCCACAUCUGAUGACUACACCAUAUUGCUCCCAGUUUUCCUGUCUGUUCCACAUGUAAAAGUCUGACUCUUCACUUCUCCUUUGAGUAUAUAGACUUUUAACAUUUUUGUAUGUCAAGAUGGACUUUUCCUCAUACCCAGCCCCUGCCUUUUCUCCUCCCUUCAUACCUUGCAGGAUCUUUAACAGAAUUUAAAAGGAGUUUUUUGUUUUGUUUUGAUGUAUCUAAUAAAAGUCAAGGGAGGGAGAGGGCCAGUAUAAGCAAGAGUACAGUUUCCUAGUUUGUAGAUGCGGUAGUCUGAGGAAUCAGAAACACACAAAGGUUUGGAGAACUGGUACAUGCUCCCAGGUGGGAAGCCAGGACUCUUGGUAGGAUCUUGAGGACAAGGCAAAGGACAAUAAGAGAGCGAGGGGAUCCUAGAGGUGGAAUCAAGGAAGAGAAACUAGAGAGAGAAAAAGGAACUGGCUAUCCAUCCAUGAUGGAUCCUGUGUGGACUGAUGGGUGGCUUGGCAUCAUCCUUUAGUAGACUUCAUGUGGUUGAAUAAUUGGCCAAUGGAAGGAAUUUCUUUUUUGGUAACAGACUCUGUGUGUACAGUUAUGGGUCUUAAUUUAUAAUAAAAGGUUACAUUGAAAA